AUAACACUUCGAAAGGAGUGCUAAUACCCGGUAUGGGCGCAGCGGUCUUCGGAUCGCGGCGAGAAAGACCCCGCAAGGGUUGCCAGAGGACGAGCCUGCGGCCCAUCAGCUAGUUGGCGAGGGUAACGGCUCACCAAGGCGAACGACGGGUAGCUGGUCUGAGAGGAUGAUCAGCCACACUGGAACUGAGACACGGUCCAGACUCCUACGGGAGGCAGCAGUGGGGAAUAUUGCGCAAUGGGCGAAAGCCUGACGCAGCCACGCCGCGUGAGCGAUGAAGGCCUUCGGGUCGCAAAGCUCUGUGGGGAGAGAAGAAUAAAGCCCUGUGAAGAGCAGGCCUUGACGGUAUCUCCUUAGCAAGCACCGGCUAACUCCGUG
RNAcentral lists this ribosomal RNA (378 nucleotides) under uncultured bacterium. RNAcentral's name for it is "bacterial SSU rRNA". It matches the Rfam family "Bacterial small subunit ribosomal RNA", at positions 143 to 507 of the family's 1533-position model. The record is from RNAcentral.